This 253-nucleotide ribosomal RNA is filed under the name uncultured bacterium. Its description in RNAcentral is "partial 16S ribosomal RNA". It matches the Rfam family "Bacterial small subunit ribosomal RNA", at positions 524 to 776 of the family's 1533-position model. The record is from RNAcentral.
UACGAAGGGGGCUAGCGUUGCUUGGAAUUACUGGGCGUAAAGGGCGCGUAGGCGGACAGUUAAGUUGGGGAUGAAAGCCCGGGGCUCAACCUCGGAAUUGCCUUCAAUACUGACUGUCUUGAGUAUGAGAGAGGUGUGUGGAACUCCGAGUGUAGAGGUGAAAUUCGUAGAUAUUCGCAAGAACACCAGUGGCGAAGGCGGCUUACUGGUCCGGUUCUGACGCUGAGGCGCGAAAGCGUGGGGAGCAAACAGG